AUUGGGUCAAUGAUGCUAACAAAAUUUGCGUUAUCUAUCUGAAAUUUUCCGUAGUGGAAUUUGAAGAUAACAAAAUCUGCAUUAUCUAUGUGCAAUUUCCUAU
Small nucleolar RNA from Ziziphus jujuba (common jujube), 103 nucleotides. RefSeq annotates it as small nucleolar RNA snoR27. NCBI's taxonomy places the organism in Eukaryota, Viridiplantae, Streptophyta, Magnoliopsida, Rosales, Rhamnaceae. The record is from RefSeq and is a predicted model, not a curated record. The transcript has a single exon.